AAGGUAGUAUCGCAAGAACUUCACUUGAUACUCGUUUGUUUAUUUUUAAUACGACAAUAAAUCUGCCUUGAUCCAUUAAGGACUAGGACAGAGGG
This 95-nucleotide non-coding RNA is filed under the name Priestia megaterium. Its description in RNAcentral is "pan". It matches the Rfam family "pan motif". The record is from RNAcentral. Lineage: Bacteria; Bacillati; Bacillota; Bacilli; Caryophanales; Bacillaceae.